CAAAGGCCCCAAAGGAAGCCACGGCUAACUCUGUGCCAGCAGCCGCGGUAAUACAGAGGUGGCAAGCGUUGUUCGGUAUUAUUGGGCGUAAAGAGCACGUAGGUGGUUCUGUAAGUCAGAUGUGAAAGCCUUCUGUUCAAAGGAAGAACGGCAUCUGAAACUACAGAUCUUGAGUGUAGGAGGGGAGAGUGGAACUUCUGGUGGAGCGGUGAAAUGCGUAGAUAUCAGAAGGAACGCCGGCGGCGAAAGCGACUCUCUGGCCUAUUACUGACACUGAGUGUGCGAAAGUUAGGGGAGCAAACGGGAUUAGAUACCCCGGUAGUCCUAACUGUAAA
This 335-nucleotide ribosomal RNA is filed under the name uncultured Planctomycetales bacterium. RNAcentral's name for it is "bacterial SSU rRNA". It matches the Rfam family "Bacterial small subunit ribosomal RNA", at positions 473 to 806 of the family's 1533-position model. The record is from RNAcentral. Lineage: Bacteria; Pseudomonadati; Planctomycetota; Planctomycetia; Planctomycetales.